RNAcentral lists this non-coding RNA (613 nucleotides) under Mus musculus (house mouse). Lineage: Eukaryota; Metazoa; Chordata; Mammalia; Rodentia; Muridae. The record is from RNAcentral.
GAGGACCGUAUUCAUGGAAGAGGAUUGAACAGAAGACUACUGAGUUCUUAAGAGAAAAAUGGCACUUAAGAAAUUGAUGGUGAUAUCAAAGGAAGGUUACUUAUUACUCUUGGACUUUGAUGAUGAGGACGAUGACAUAAAAGUUUCAGAGGAGGCUCUUGCGGAAGUAAAGAGCCCAGGAUUUGAUAAAAAUGAGAAUAUAUCGCCUCAAGCAGAAGCAGAUGAAUAUAUGGGAGAUGAAGUAGACAGUAUGUUGGAUAAAUCUGGAGUAAAGAACCCAGCAAUUGGUAAAGAUGAGAAUAUAUCGCCUCAAGUAAAAGGAGAUGAAGACAUGGGAGAUGAAAUUGACAGUAUGUUGGCUACAUCUGGAGGUCUUUUCUCCUGAGAACACGGGACUCCAGCAUCUUCGGAUUCUGCUCUUGGAGGUGUGAGUCCCUGCCUCUCUGCACAGGGGAACUUAUGUCUCUCCACAUGUCCGCAAAUGUCUACCCAAGAUUAUACAUCUUCCAAAGGCUUUCAAAUACUUCUUUACAUAAACAAGCUGCAUCAUUGGACUGAAAGUGAAUGGCCCAUGUGUUGCCACUGAUGUGAGCCAUUUGCCUGUUGUGCUUCA